This is a long non-coding RNA of Chinchilla lanigera (long-tailed chinchilla), 524 nucleotides long. RefSeq lists it as uncharacterized. The record is from RefSeq and is a predicted model, not a curated record. The transcript is spliced from 3 exons. Lineage: Eukaryota; Metazoa; Chordata; Mammalia; Rodentia; Chinchillidae.
GAGGCUGGGGAGCCGCGCCUUGAUUCAGCGUGCUCCUGCGGCGCGAUUCUGCACAGAAGCUCUCAGCCCUUGUCGGGGCGACAGAUGGGAAUGAAGUUAUUUCACAUCCUCCGGCUUGACCCAUCUGAGAGCUGAAUAACACCAAGUGACCUCUGUUGAUAGCAUGAGAAGAUAAGAGAAGAGUUGCUAAUUUCUGGUCUAUAAAUUAUAAUGAGUGAAUACAGAACAUGGUGCCCACCUGAAAUGAACUGCAUAGGAAUAUACAAGACAUGGAUGUGUCUACCAGCCAUCUCAGCUGCCUUGUACCAGGAGCCACACCCAUUGGCAUCUGGUGCUACAACUUUCAUCCUUUUUGGAUGACCUUCCUUCUACCCUUCUCAAUAAUUCAUCAGCUGCAACACACCCACUUUCACAAGCAACCUUCAGGUCUUGUUCUAGAUAAAGCACCAUAGUUAUUUGUAGUAGCUAUGUUUUUAAACAUUCAUGUGUGUAAAACAGAGUGCUUUGGGCUGAAUGUUUGUGCC